Molecule: ribosomal RNA, 225 nt
Filed under: uncultured Atopostipes sp.
Lineage: Bacteria; Bacillati; Bacillota; Bacilli; Lactobacillales; Carnobacteriaceae
Description: partial 16S ribosomal RNA
Rfam family: Bacterial small subunit ribosomal RNA
Source: RNAcentral
AGCGCAGGCGGUUGGAAUAGUCUGAUGUGAAAGCCCACGGCUUAACCGUGGAAUUGCAUUGGAAACUGUCCAACUUGAAUGCAGAAGAGGAAAGCGGAAUUCCAUGUGUAGCGGUGAAAUGCGUAGAUAUAUGGAGGAACACCAGUGGCGAAGGCGGCUUUCUGGUCUGUGAUUGACGCUGAGGCUCGAAAGCGUGGGGAGCGAACAGGAUUAGAUACCCCCGUA